AAAAACAUGUCUUUUAGAAAAUAAUUUAAAGUCUAAUCUGCCCACUGAUAAUUAUAUUGAAGGGCUGCAGUAUAUUGACUGUACAAAGGUAGCAUAAUCAAUAGUCUUUUAAUUGAAGACUUGUAUGAAGGAUUUGAUGAAAUAUAAACUGUCUCUAAUUUAUUUAUAGAAAUUAAUUUUUUAGUUAAAAAGCUAAAAUUUUUUUAAAAGACGAGAAGACCCUAUAGAGUUUUAUAUUUAUUAUAUUUAAGAUUAUAUUUAUAAUUAAAAAUUAAAAAUAAAAUAAAUAUUUUAUUGGGGUGAUAGAAAAAUUAAAAUAACUUUUUUUAAAAAGUAACAAAAAUAAGUGAAAAAUUGAUCCAUAAUUUAUGAUUAAAAGAAAAAAUUACCUUAGGGAUAACAGCGUAAUAUUUUUUUUUAGUACAAAUAAAAAAAAAAGUUUGCGACCUCGAUGUUGGAUUAAGAUAAAAUUUAAAUGCAAAAGUUUAAAAUUUUGAUCUGUUCGAUCAUUAAAAUCUUACAUGAUCUGA
Molecule: ribosomal RNA, 530 nt
Filed under: Cynitia lepidea
Lineage: Eukaryota; Metazoa; Arthropoda; Insecta; Lepidoptera; Nymphalidae
Description: partial 16S ribosomal RNA
Rfam family: Bacterial large subunit ribosomal RNA
Source: RNAcentral